AUUGAACGCUGGCGGCAUGCCUUACACAUGCAAGUCGAACGGCAGCACGGGUGCUUGCACCUGGUGGCGAGUGGCGAGCGGGUGAGUAAUAUAUCGGAACGUACCCUAGAGUGGGGGAUAACGCAGCGAAAGUUGCGCUAAUACCGCGUACGAUCUACGGAUGAAAGUGGGGGAUCGCAAGACCUCAUGCUCAUGGAGCG
RNAcentral lists this ribosomal RNA (200 nucleotides) under uncultured bacterium. Its description in RNAcentral is "partial 16S ribosomal RNA". It matches the Rfam family "Bacterial small subunit ribosomal RNA", at positions 30 to 228 of the family's 1533-position model. The record is from RNAcentral.